Molecule: ribosomal RNA, 241 nt
Filed under: uncultured Actinomycetales bacterium
Lineage: Bacteria; Bacillati; Actinomycetota; Actinomycetes; Actinomycetales
Description: partial 16S ribosomal RNA
Rfam family: Bacterial small subunit ribosomal RNA
Source: RNAcentral
ACUCGAGUGGCGAACGGGUGAGUAACACGUGGGUGAUCUGCCCUGUACUUCGGGAUAAGCUUGGGAAACUGGGUCUAAUACCGGAUAGGAGCCAUCUUUAGUGUGGUGGUUGGAAAGUUUUUCGGUGUAGGAUGAGCUCGCGGCCUAUCAGCUUGUUGGUGGGGUAAUGGCCUACCAAGGCGGCGACGGGUAGCCGGCCUGAGAGGGUGUACGGCCACAUUGGGACUGAGAUACGGCCCAG